UACGAAGGGGGCUAGCGAUGUUCGGCAUCACGGGGCGUAAAGAGCACGUCGGCGGCGCGUUAAGUCAGGGGUGAAAUCCUGGAGCUCAACUCCAGAACUGCCUUUGAUACUGGCGUGCUCGAGUGUGGGAGAGGUUGGUGGAACUCCGAGUGUAGAGGUGAAAUUCGUAGAUAUUCGGAAGAACACCAGUGGCGAAGGCGGCCAACUGGCCCAUUACUGACGCUGAGGUGCGAAAGCGUGGGGAGCAAAUAGG
RNAcentral lists this ribosomal RNA (253 nucleotides) under uncultured bacterium. RNAcentral's name for it is "partial 16S ribosomal RNA". It matches the Rfam family "Bacterial small subunit ribosomal RNA", at positions 524 to 776 of the family's 1533-position model. The record is from RNAcentral.